This 497-nucleotide ribosomal RNA is filed under the name uncultured bacterium. RNAcentral's name for it is "partial 16S ribosomal RNA". It matches the Rfam family "Bacterial small subunit ribosomal RNA", at positions 28 to 507 of the family's 1533-position model. The record is from RNAcentral.
GACGAACGCUGGCGGCGUGCCUAAUACAUGCAAGUAGAACGCUGAAGAGAGGAGCUUGCUCUUCUUGGCUGAGUUGCGAACGGGUGAGUAACGCGUAGGUAACCUGCCUUGUAGCGGGGGAUAACUAUUGGAAACGAUAGCUAAUACCGCAUAACAAUGGAUGACACAUGUCAUUUAUUUGAAAGGGGCAAUUGCUCCACUACAAGAUGGACCUGCGUUGUAUUAGCUAGUAGGUGAGGUAAUGGCUCACCUAGGCGACGAUACAUAGCCGACCUGAGGGGGUGAUCGGCCACACUGGGACUGAGACACGGCCCAGACUCCUACGGGAGGCAGCAGUAGGGAAUCUUCGGCAAUGGGGGCAACCCUGACCGAGCAACGCCGCGUGAGUGAAGAAGGUUUUCGGAUCGUAAAGCUCUGUUGUAAGUCAAGAACGGGUGUGAGAGUGGAAAGUUCACACUGUGACGGUAGCUUACCAGAAAGGGACGGCUAACUACGUG